GUGGGGAAUCUUGCGCAAUGGGCGAAAGCCUGACGCAGCCAUGCCGCGUGAAUGAUGAAGGUCUUAGGAUUGUAAAAUUCUUUCACCGGGGACGAUAAUGACGGUACCCGGAGAAGAAGCUCCGGCUAACUUCGUGCCAGCAGCCGCGGUAAUACGAAGGGGGCUAGCGUUGCUCGGAAUUACUGGGCGUAAAGGGCGCGUAGGCGGACAGCUUAGUCAGAGGUGAAAGCCCAGGGCUCAACCUUGGAAUUGCCUUUGAUACUGGCUGUCUUGAGUACGGGAGAGGUGAGUGGAACUCCGAGUGUAGAGGUGAAAUUCGUAGAUAUUCGGAAGAACACCAGUGGCGAAGGCGACUCACUGGCCCAAUACUGACGCUGAGGCGCGAAAGCGUGGGGAGCAAACAGGAUUAGAUACCCGUGUAGUCC
This 425-nucleotide ribosomal RNA is filed under the name uncultured bacterium. RNAcentral's name for it is "partial 16S ribosomal RNA". It matches the Rfam family "Bacterial small subunit ribosomal RNA", at positions 354 to 796 of the family's 1533-position model. The record is from RNAcentral.